CCUACGGGAGGCAGCAGUGAGGAAUAUUGUUCAAUGGACGGAAGUCUGAACCAGCCAUGCCGCGUGCAGGAAGACGGCUCUAUGAGUUGUAAACUGCUUUUGUACAAGGGUAAACCUGAAUACGUGUAUUCAGAUGAAAUUACUGUACGAAUAAGGAUCGGCUAACUCCGUGCCAGCAGCCGCGGUAAUACUGAGGAUCCAAGCGUUAUCCGGAUUUAUUGGGUUUAAAGGGUGCGUAGGCGGAUUGAUAAGUUAGAGGUGAAAUGUCCGAGCUUAACUCGGGAACUGCCUCUAAUACUGGUGAUCGUGAGAGUAGAUGCGGUAGGCGGAAUGUAUGGUGUAGCGGUGAAAUGCUUAGAGAUCAUACAGAACACCGAUUGCGAAGGCAGCUUACCAAUCUAUAUCUGACGUUGAGGCACGAAAGCGUGGGGAGCAAACAGGAUUAGAUACCCGGGUAGUC
Molecule: ribosomal RNA, 460 nt
Filed under: uncultured bacterium
Lineage: Bacteria
Description: partial 16S ribosomal RNA
Rfam family: Bacterial small subunit ribosomal RNA
Source: RNAcentral